GAUGAACGCUGGCGGCGUGCCUAAUACAUGCAAGUCGAGCGAACAGACGAGGAGCUUGCUCCUCUGACGUUAGCGGCGGACGGGUGAGUAACACGUGGAUAACCUACCUAUAAGACUGGGAUAACUUCGGGAAACCGGAGCUAAUACCGGAUAAUAUAUUGAACCGCAUGGUUCAAUAGUGAAAGACGGUUUUGCUGUCACUUAUAGAUGGAUCCGCGCCGCAUUAGCUAGUUGGUAAGGUAACGGCUUACCAAGGCAACGAUGCGUAGCCGACCUGAGAGGGUGAUCGCCCACACUGGAACUGAGACACGGUCCAGACUCCUACGGGAGGCAGCAGUAGGGAAUCUUCCGCAAUGGUCGAAAGCCUGACGGAGCAACGCCGCGUGAGUGAUGAAGGUCUUCGGAUCGUAAAACUCUGUUAUUAGGGAAGAACAAAUGUGUAAGUAACUAUGCACGUCUUGACGGUACCUAAUCAGAAAGCCACGGCUAACUACGUG
This 497-nucleotide ribosomal RNA is filed under the name uncultured bacterium. Its description in RNAcentral is "partial 16S ribosomal RNA". It matches the Rfam family "Bacterial small subunit ribosomal RNA", at positions 28 to 507 of the family's 1533-position model. The record is from RNAcentral.